GAAUUUAAGUUAAAAUUAAAACUAUAAACCUUCAAAGUUUAAAAUAAAAAAAAUUAAUUCUUA
This 63-nucleotide transfer RNA is filed under the name Pentapycnon charcoti. Its description in RNAcentral is "tRNA-Trp". The record is from RNAcentral. Lineage: Eukaryota; Metazoa; Arthropoda; Pycnogonida; Pantopoda; Pycnogonidae.